GGAGAGGUGGCCGAGAGGCUGAAGGCGGCGGUUUGCUAAACCGUUAUACAGCCAAAAGCUGUAUCGAGGGUUCGAAUCCCUCCCUCUCCGCCA
This 93-nucleotide transfer RNA is filed under the name Chromatiales bacterium. RNAcentral's name for it is "tRNA-Ser". It matches the Rfam family "tRNA". From Rfam's summary of the family: Transfer RNA (tRNA) molecules are approximately 80 nucleotides in length. Their secondary structure includes four short double-helical elements and three loops (D, anti-codon, and T loops). Lineage: Bacteria; Pseudomonadati; Pseudomonadota; Gammaproteobacteria; Chromatiales. The record is from RNAcentral.